This 253-nucleotide ribosomal RNA is filed under the name uncultured bacterium. RNAcentral's name for it is "partial 16S ribosomal RNA". It matches the Rfam family "Bacterial small subunit ribosomal RNA", at positions 524 to 776 of the family's 1533-position model. The record is from RNAcentral.
UACGGGGGGGGUAAGCGUUGUUCGGAAUUACUGGGCGUAAAGGGCUCGUAGGCGGCCAACUAAGUCAGACGUGAAAUCCCUCAGCUUAACUGGGGAACUGCGUCUGAUACUGGAUGGCUUGGAUUCGGGAGAGGGGGAUGGAAUUCCGCGUGUAGCAGUGAAAUGCGUAGAUAUGCGGAGGAACACCGAUGGCGAAGGCAAUCCCCUGGGCCUGCACUGACGCUCAUGCACGAAAGCGUGGGGAGCAAACAGG